RNAcentral lists this ribosomal RNA (144 nucleotides) under uncultured bacterium. RNAcentral describes it as "partial 16S rRNA". It matches the Rfam family "Bacterial small subunit ribosomal RNA", at positions 355 to 511 of the family's 1533-position model. The record is from RNAcentral.
UGGGGAAUUUUCCGCAAUGGGCGAAAGCCUGACGGAGCAAUGCCGCGUGGAGGUGGAAGGCCUACGGGUCGGUUCAACUUCUUUUACUCGGAGAAGAAACAAUGACGGUAUCUGAGGAAUAAGCAUCGGCUAACUCUGUGUCAG